Long non-coding RNA from Daphnia pulicaria, 314 nucleotides. RefSeq lists it as uncharacterized. The transcript is spliced from 3 exons. The record is from RefSeq and is a predicted model, not a curated record. NCBI's taxonomy places the organism in Eukaryota, Metazoa, Arthropoda, Branchiopoda, Diplostraca, Daphniidae.
UGUCAUCCAAAUGACAGAGGAUUCAUAAUAAUUAUCGACUGAUUCUAUUGGACUUGCUAAAUAUCACCAACCCCAGCAUGGACCAAUCUCUUAUUCCAUCUUCUAGAGAACCUUGGAUAACUGAUUGGUAGUUUAGUGUGUAAGUCACUACCCCAGUGUGGACAUGUUUGUUUUUCUGAACAUGUUUUUCAACAAAUAAUUCAUUGACGUACAAGUAUUCUUCUUCUUUCAGUUUUAAACUGUUAUUUGAUGUCAUAGAUUGUAUUUUCUGUCAUAAAAUAUAUCAUCUAGGCCAUGGGCAAUCUUCAGGUUUA